CCUACGGGAGGCAGCAGUGGGGAAUAUUGGACAAUGGGCGCAAGCCUGACCCAGCAACGCCGCGUGAAGGAAGAAGGCUCUCGGGUUGUAAACUUCUUUUAUCAGGGACGAAGCAAGUGACGGUACCUGAUGAAUAAGCCACGGCUAACUACGUGCCAGCAGCCGAGGUAAUACGUAGGUGGCAAGCGUUAUCCGGAUUGACUGGGUGGAAAGGGCGUGUAGGCGGGAAAGCAAGUCAGAUGUGAAAACCAUGGGCUCAACCUGUGACCUGCAUUUGAAACUGUUUUUCUUGAGUACUGGAGAGGCAGAUGGAAUUCCAGGUGUAGCGGUGAAAUGCGUAGAGAUUAGGAGGAAUACCAGUGGCGAAGGCGGUCUGCUGGACAGCAACUGACGCUGAGGUGCGAAAGCGUGGGGAGCAAACAGGAUUAGAUACCCUUGUAGUC
This 443-nucleotide ribosomal RNA is filed under the name uncultured bacterium. Its description in RNAcentral is "partial 16S ribosomal RNA". It matches the Rfam family "Bacterial small subunit ribosomal RNA", at positions 338 to 795 of the family's 1533-position model. The record is from RNAcentral.